GACGAACGCUGGCGGCGUGCUUAACACAUGCAAGUCGAACGGAAAGGCCCUGCUUGCAGGGUGCUCGAGUGGCGAACGGGUGAGUAACACGUGGGUGAUCUGCCCCUUACUUUGGGAUAAGCCUGGGAAACUGGGUCUAAUACUGGAUAGGACCAUGCUGUAGGUGGUGUGGUGGAAAGAUUAGUUUCGGUAAGGGAUGAGCUCGCGGCCUAUCAGCUUGUUGGUGGGGUAAUGGCCUACCAAGGCGUCGACGGGUAGCCGGCCUGAGAGGGUGGACGGCCACAUUGGGACUGCGAUACGGCCCAGACGCCUACGGGAGGCAGCAGUGGGGAAUAUUGCACAAUGGGCGCAAGCCGGAUGCAGCGACGCCGCGUGGGGGAUGACGGCCUUCGGGUUGUAAACUCCUUCCAGCCAUGACGAAGCCCUUGUGGUGACGGUAGUGGUAGAAGAAGCACCGGCUAACUACGUG
RNAcentral lists this ribosomal RNA (469 nucleotides) under uncultured bacterium. Its description in RNAcentral is "partial 16S ribosomal RNA". It matches the Rfam family "Bacterial small subunit ribosomal RNA", at positions 28 to 507 of the family's 1533-position model. The record is from RNAcentral.